Molecule: long non-coding RNA, 568 nt
Filed under: Pongo abelii (Sumatran orangutan)
Lineage: Eukaryota; Metazoa; Chordata; Mammalia; Primates; Hominidae
Description: lincRNA
Source: RNAcentral
CCAAGCCCUCUCCCUUGACACAUGGGGAUUACAAUUCGAGAUGAGAUUUGGGUGGAGACGCAGCCAAACCAUAACACUCAGAAUGUUUUAACAGGGAGGAACCCUAUCUUCUGGGAGAUGCAAAAUACGCUUGCACCAAAAAGUAAGCCACGGAAACAGGGAAUGAAGUAAAAAACCAAGAAUGUUUCAUGUGCCUGUGAGAUGCAUGGAUUCUUCAAGAUGGCGAGACCCAAGGAUAGAAAGGUCAAGAUGGCGGCAGGUCACCUCGGGACUUUUCUGGCUACUUUAUGGAAAUAAAAUCCUGACGCUAGCCCAUUAGGGAACUGCUAAAAUUGUCCAAAUAAGAAAUGAGAGAGUGUUGGAUUAAAAGGCUUCAGAGUUCUACAUCGUAUCCUACUUACAGCCCUAAAUACCUGUUAACUGCCACCCCCUGGACAGAUUAUUACAGUGACAACAGAAAUAUAAGUCACAUAAGGAGCUGCUGAAUGCACUCAAGACUCAACAAUCUCCAAAGAUAUCAGAAGGCAUGAAUGGAAAUCUGGACUCUGACAAUUGUCCUUAGCAUGUU